Molecule: ribosomal RNA, 253 nt
Filed under: uncultured bacterium
Lineage: Bacteria
Description: partial 16S ribosomal RNA
Rfam family: Bacterial small subunit ribosomal RNA
Source: RNAcentral
UACGUAGGUGGCAAGCGUUGUCCGGAUUUACUGGGCGUAAAGAGCGCGCAGGCGGUCGUUCAAGUCGCGUGUGAAAGCCCCCGGCUCAACUGGGGAGGGUCACGCGAUACUGAUCGACUCGAAGGCAGGAGAGGGUAGUGGAAUUCCCGGUGUAGUGGUGAAAUGCGUAGAUAUGCGGAGGAACACCGGUGGCGAAGGCGGCCCACUGGAUCGGUACUGACGCUGAGGUGCGAAAGCGUGGGGAGCAAACAGG